GACGAACGCUGGCGGCGUGCUUAACACAUGCAAGUCGAGCGGUAAGGCCCUUUCGGGGGUACACGAGCGGCGAACGGGUGAGUAACACGUGGGUGACCUGCCCUCAGCUCUGGGAUAAGCCUGGGAAACCGGGUCUAAUACCGGAUAUGACUCCAUGACGCAUGUUGUGGGGUGGAAAGCCUUGUGCGGCUGAGGAUGGGCCCGCGGCCUAUCAGCUUGUUGUGGGGUGANGGCCUACCAAGGCGACGACGGGUAGCCGGCCUGAGAGGGCGACCGGCCACACUGGGACUGAGACACGGCCCAGACUCCUACGGGAGGCAGCAGUGGGGAAUCUUGCGCAAUGGGCGAAAAGCCUGACGCAGCGACGCCGCGUGAGGGAUGACGGCCU
Molecule: ribosomal RNA, 388 nt
Filed under: uncultured bacterium
Lineage: Bacteria
Description: bacterial SSU rRNA
Rfam family: Bacterial small subunit ribosomal RNA
Source: RNAcentral